This is a non-coding RNA of Cinara cedri, 218 nucleotides long. NCBI's taxonomy places the organism in Eukaryota, Metazoa, Arthropoda, Insecta, Hemiptera, Aphididae. The record is from the annotation of a GenBank genome assembly.
AAGAUCUUAAGGAAAGUAUUUUAAUGUUAAUAUCUGAAUAAACUCCAUCACUCCAUCCUUUAUCUCUGUUUUUUCAGUACUAUUGGCCAUAUUAUAUAAUUUUUUAGGAUUACUUAAUAAGUCGACUAAUAAUUUCGUUAGAUUUUCUUUUGUUUGACUAUUCUGUUCAACUAUUACUGCUGCAUUCGAGGUUUCAAUAUGCUUUGCGUUAUAAAAUU